This 315-nucleotide ribosomal RNA is filed under the name uncultured bacterium. Its description in RNAcentral is "bacterial SSU rRNA". It matches the Rfam family "Bacterial small subunit ribosomal RNA", at positions 237 to 546 of the family's 1533-position model. The record is from RNAcentral.
UCACAGGAAACAGCUAUGACCAUGAUUACGCCAAGCUUGGUACCGAGCUCGGAUCCACUAGUAACGGCCGCCAGUGUGCUGGAAUUCGGCUUCCUACGGGAGGCAGCAGUGGGGAAUUUUCCGCAAUGGGCGAAAGCCUGACGGAGCAACGCCGCGUGAGGGAAGAAGGUCUUUGGAUUGUAAACCUCUUUUCUCAGGGAAGAAGUCAGUGACGGUACCUGAGGAAUCAGCAUCGGCUAACUCCGUGCCAGCAGCCGCGGUAAUAAGCCGAAUUCUGCAGAUAUCCAUCACACUGGCGGCCGCUCGAGCAUGCAU